UGGACCCUGAUGCAAAGUGACGGUGAUAGAGGACUGAGCGUCUCAUGAAGAACAGAGUCGCGAAGGUCCGAGGUCACCGCAUCUUUCAAAAACCACUUAUGCCAAACAAGAAAGCACUUUUUUCCUGGGAAGGAGCUCGGCAACGUUCGUCCUUGGAUCUGAAAACAAGCAGCUCAUCAGCAGCGUCUUUGUUGAACAUACAGUACACGGGAACAAACUCAGAUGAAAGUGUACAGUUCUAUAAGAAGAUUCCUUAAUUGUCACCUUUUGUGAUGUGUGUAUGUGAGUCUGUAAUGUGUGUGUGCGUGUUUCGAUGUUUAUAUGAGAGGUAAUCUGUGGUUUGUUUAUGGGAUGGAGGGCAGCAUGGUGGCGUGUACUGGCAGAGGGUGGAAAAGAAACUAUAGUACAUGUAACUUGAAUAUACUAAUAAUAAUUAUAAUAAAAAUAUAUAGUAAGAAUGA
Seriola aureovittata is the source of this 461-nucleotide long non-coding RNA. RefSeq lists it as uncharacterized. NCBI's taxonomy places the organism in Eukaryota, Metazoa, Chordata, Actinopteri, Carangiformes, Carangidae. The record is from RefSeq and is a predicted model, not a curated record. The transcript is spliced from 2 exons.